This 726-nucleotide ribosomal RNA is filed under the name Lysinibacillus sphaericus. RNAcentral's name for it is "bacterial SSU rRNA". It matches the Rfam family "Bacterial small subunit ribosomal RNA", at positions 116 to 828 of the family's 1533-position model. Lineage: Bacteria; Bacillati; Bacillota; Bacilli; Caryophanales; Bacillaceae. The record is from RNAcentral.
CGUGGGCAACCUACCCUAUAGUUUGGGAUAACUCCGGGAAACCGGGGCUAAUACCGAAUAAUCUUUUGUCCCUCAUGGGACAAUACUGAAAGACGGUUUCGGCUGUCGCUAUAGGAUGGGCCCGCGGCGCAUUAGCUAGUUGGUGAGGUAACGGCUCACCAAGGCAACGAUGCGUAGCCGACCUGAGAGGGUGAUCGGCCACACUGGGACUGAGACACGGCCCAGACUCCUACGGGAGGCAGCAGUAGGGAAUCUUCCACAAUGGGCGAAAGCCUGAUGGAGCAACGCCGCGUGAGUGAAGAAGGAUUUCGGUUCGUAAAACUCUGUUGUAAGGGAAGAACAAGUACAGUAUUAACUGGCUGUACCUUGACGGUACCUUAUUAGAAAGCCACGGCUAACUACGUGCCAGCAGCCGCGGUAAUACGUAGGUGGCAAGCGUUGUCCGGAAUUAUUGGGCGUAAAGCGCGCGCAGGUGGUUUCUUAAGUCUGAUGUGAAAGCCCACGGCUCAACCGUGGAGGGUCAUUGGAAACUGGGAGACUUGAGUGCAGAAGAGGAUAGUGGAAUUCCAAGUGUAGCGGUGAAAUGCGUAGAGAUUUGGAGGAACACCAGUGGCGAAGGCGACUAUCUGGUCUGUAACUGACACUGAGGCGCGAAAGCGUGGGGAGCACACAGGAUUAGAUACCCCUGGUAGUCCACGCCGUAACGAUGAGUGCUAAGUGUUAGGG